This 24-nucleotide non-coding RNA is filed under the name Rattus norvegicus (Norway rat). The record is from RNAcentral. Lineage: Eukaryota; Metazoa; Chordata; Mammalia; Rodentia; Muridae.
UUUGAUCACGACUGCCUGAGGUUU